RNAcentral lists this long non-coding RNA (4356 nucleotides) under Brassica rapa (field mustard). Its description in RNAcentral is "long non-coding RNA (BRAP_LNC000880)". Lineage: Eukaryota; Viridiplantae; Streptophyta; Magnoliopsida; Brassicales; Brassicaceae. The record is from RNAcentral.
CCACGUGUCAGUCUUCCUCCCACAGAAAUCCACUUUGUGGUCUGUUUCUGUUUUCUUUUAUAAAAAAUAAACAGAAUCCCUCUUUCUUAUCCUACUCAAUAAAAUAUCUGAAACGUAGAGAAGAAGGAAGAAGAAAAGAUGACGACGCAGAAUAAAGAGAUGGAAGUGGUGAAGGAUCUCGACUUGGAGAGAUACAUGGGCCGUUGGUACGAGAUUGCUUCUUUCCCUUCCAUUUUUCAGCCCAAGAACGGUAUUGACACUCGCGCCACCUACACCCUCAACCCUGACGGCACGGUUGAUGUCUUGAACGAGACGUGGAACAGUGGCAAGAGAGUUUUCAUCCAAGGCUCAGCAUACAAGACUGAUCCUAAGAGCGACGAGGCUAAGUUCAAAGUUAAGUUCUAUGUCCCUCCUUUCCUCCCUAUCAUUCCUGUCACUGGAGAUUACUGGGUGUUGUAUAUUGAUCCUGAGUACCAGCACGCCGUCAUCGGCCAGCCUUCAAGGAGUUAUCUCUGGGUAUGUCUUGUUGUGUUUUGUCUCUUUAUGAUGAAUAUGAUAGAAAAAGCUAAGGAUUGAUAUUGAGUAUGUGGGAUAUGUGGUGUAGAUACUGAGCAGGACGGCACAUGUGGAGGAAGAGACAUACAAGCAGCUGCUGGAGAAGGCGGUGGAGGAAGGGUACGACGUCAGCAAGCUUCACAAGACCCCUCAGAGUGACACACCACCUGAGUCCAACGCUGCUCCUAACGACACCAAGGAUCAAAUGCUAAAAUAGACCACAAAGGGUCAAAAAAAUUUGAUAUAGACCUAUUGUUUCUUUAUUUUAAUAAUAAAUAAAAAUUAGGGAGAAAAGACAAUGAGACCUAAUAACUUAAACAUAUUUACUAAUCUAUGCCAUUGCAAUUCUACCCAGAUUCUGAUCCAGAUUCUGACCCGGAUCCAUACCCAAACCCGAUCUAACUCUAACCCUAGUCUUCUUCUUCCUCCUUUUUUCUUCUCCAUUAAUGUUCCUUCAUUUUAAAAAAAAAAAAUCAAAAAUUUUCUUUAACCAUCCUCUAAUUUUCUCUUUCUUAACCCAAAUCGAACAAUCCAUACUCAUAUUAAAUCAAUUAUAUCUUAUUUAGAAUCAAAUUUCAUAUUUUAUGAAUGAGAUUUAAAAUAAAGAAGAACGCGAAGUAUAACUAAUACAAAGAGUACAACUACAACUGGUACGGAUAGUACAACUCCAACUCAUACAACUAAUACAAAUCAAAUUGGUACAACUAGUACAACUAAAACAAAUAUAACUAGUAUAAAUAUAUUGAGUAUAGCCAAUAUAGCUGAUACAAGAAAAACUUGUAUAACUAAUACAACUUUACAAUAAUUUGGUGAGUUUUUAUUUUUUGUUAUCAACAUAUAAAAAUGACAUAAAAAGGAUAAUUUAGAACCAAUAAAACAUGUUGGUCUAAUCUUUUCCCGCCUGCAUGUAUCAAAUACAUGAAUUGUAUAUUUUUAAUAAUAUUGGAAUUGAAUAAUGAUUUAUUUACAAGUUGUACAAGUUAUACUGGUUGUACUAUUUUCUAAAAAAAACAUCAAUCAUCUUUUUAUUCUUAAGGCCAAAAAAGUAGAUGUGGAUCCAAAAAAGUCUUUAACCAUGGUUCUAAAAAACACAAGUCACUGGAAAAAUAAAAAGAAGGGAACGUCGGCGAUGAGUAAGAGUAACCAUCAUCGAUGGAGAAAAAGAUGGCCUCUAUUGUGAAGAAGAGAGAUGCCGCAUCGGAAAAUAAAAAAGACGCAGUGAAGAAAAAGAGAGAUGCGACAAAGAAGAGUGUAGUCGUGGUGAAAAAUAGGAAGCUUGACGGUGGUGUCCAUGGUGGGUCUUCGUCAAAUCCAAACAAACAGCUCGGAAUUGCAAGAGAGAAACCACAUUUCCACCGGACCCUCAAUGCGUUCUUUUCCCGGAACCAUCAAUGGCUUCACCAUUUCAGCCCACUAGUAAGCCCCAUAAAUAAUGAAGUCAACCCAAAAAUUUAGAUGUAUUUUGGUAUAACUAAUGCAACAAGUUCAACUACACUGUAAUAUAUAAGAAUAGUACAACUACUCGACAUUAGUGUUUCAAUCAAAAUAUUUAAAAUAAGAUACACAUUCAGAACAUGAUGCAUAUUUAAAACAAUACUAAAUUAAAUAACAAGUAGUUAUACCGGUUUUCUAGUUGUAUCGGUUGUGUAUAGUUAAUAGUUGUACUAGUUUUUGAGUUGUACCAUUUUGUGCAUAGUUGUACUUUGGUAAUAAAAACCAAAAUAUUAAUUCUUCCACAUAAUAAAUAUAUUUAUCUCAGUUGUACCACUUAUUUAUGUUUUCAUGCAUUUGCCCGAGUAUAAUGAAAUCAUCAAUUUUGUAAAAAUACAUUUCAUGUAUGUUUUUCAAAAGUUAUGUGGACAAACAAGUUAACAAACCUUAAAAGUAUAAGGUAUAUCAUGUAAAUUUCUGGAACUGUGUAAUAACUUUUAUUUUAUUUUUUCAAAACUUAUAAUAAAUUAAGAAAAACUUUUUGAAUACAUACCCUUUGCCGUCUGCAAGAAACUGAAAAUCAACCCUUUGCAGUAUGUACACGACUGUUACACUUGUGAACGGUAUUACAAAACUUAUGCUGCCACUUUUUCUCCUGUUCCGGAGUUAUCAGCUUGGCCGGAAGCUUCCGGAGUUCUGAGAUUGUUUCCCCCAGUCAUUCCUCCGCCACCACCGCCUCCAUCUUCUGUAGUACCAUGUAAGGCCCAACGCAAAUCAACUCUUAAGACUAAUAAAAGGAAGAGCUGAGAAAUGUAGAUUUUCAUCUGAAUCGAACCGGACAUUUUGGUAUGUUUAUGUAGUAUCUUGCGACUUUCAGAAGUAGGGUUAAUCCCGGUUUGAAUUUUACGAUGUUGAUGCUGUAAUGGAAGAAACAGAACGUGUGUUGGUGUUUUUUUUUGGUAUGUGAUGAUUAAUCCGGUUUGUGUCAGAAAUUUUGUCGAUCCCAUGAACCGAUACAAAAACAAAGCUAAACCGGAUCGGAAACUGAAGCCAACCGUCAUGUUCUUCACCAUCUCAUUCCGAAUUGUUUCUCUCUUGCUAUCUCACUUCCAGGCGGGCGGUAAUAUACAAACAAAUAACAUGUGUAUGUUAAGCUUAUCCCUUUGCUCUUUAAGAAAGUUUUUUUUUAAUCUGCAAGGAGGUGAGUGCGAUCCUAAAAUCCACAUUAGAAAUUUGUUAGUGUUUAUAAUAAGAUAAAAGAAGAAGAAUUUUGUGUACAACAAUAUCCUCAAACCAAAACAAAGUUGACGAAAAUGGACUUUAUGAAUAUAGAUCUCGAAUGUUUUACAAGAUAUGGAAAUGGUAAUCUAAACAAGGCUCAGAGGUGUGUUCAAACAUGUCAUGUCAUGUCAUGUCUCCUUAAGGUGAGCCUCAAACUGAGAAUCAAAAUAAAGAUAAAGACUGAAAUGGGUAAGUGAAGAGUUUGAAGUCGAUAGGUUAGUGUGUUCAAAUAUGUCAUGUCUCCUUGCUCUCAUCUCUCAUCUUUUUUUUGGUUUUUGAUAUUUUCUCUUCUUCUCAUCAUUGCGAUCUUGGAAAUCUCGGACGCUCAGUGGUCACCACGAAAAAAGUUGAGUGUUACAAUCUAGUUAAUCGCACAAUUAUGAAAAAUGUUCUUGGGUGGGCCUAAAAAUGGCAAAAGAAAGUCAAAUCAAAGUGUGCAUGUUAGGCUUGGCCCAUUGUAUUGUAUUCUUCUACGGUUCUACCUCCCGCGGUCCCGCCCAUAGAACAAAGAAAAGAGACAAGACAUUUGUGUCCUCCUCCUUGUUUCAGAUUACAUCUCAUAGAUGCUACUAGAACCAUUUGCCCUACACGCUUCCCACGUGUCAGUCUCUCUUCCCACAGAAAUCCACUUUGUGGUCUUUUUCUGUUUUCUUUUAUAAAAAAUAAACAGAAUCCCUCUUUCUUAUCCUACUCAAUAAAAUAUCUGAACCUUAGAGAAGAAGGAAGAAGAAAAGAUGACGACGCAGAAGAAAGAGAUGGAAGUGGUGAAGGAUCUUGACUUGGAGAGAUACAUGGGCCGUUGGUACGAGAUUGCUUCUUUCCCUUCCAUUUUUCAGCCCAAGAACGGUGUUGACACUCGCGCCACCUACACCCUCAACCCUGACGGCACGGUGCACGUCUUGAACGAGACGUGGAACGGUGGCAAGAGAGCUUUCAUCCAAGGCUCAGCCUACAAGACUGAUCCUAAGAGCGACGAGGCUAAGUUCAAAGUUAAGUUCUACGUCCCUCCUUUUCUCCCUAUCAUUCCUGUCACUGGAGAUUACUGGGUGUUGUAUAUUGAUCCUGAGUACCAGCAUGCUGUCAUCGGCC